UGAUAGCGGCCUACGACGGCGCCCAACUC
This 29-nucleotide small RNA is filed under the name Bombyx mori (domestic silkworm). RNAcentral describes it as "ovarian small RNA-8279". The record is from RNAcentral. Lineage: Eukaryota; Metazoa; Arthropoda; Insecta; Lepidoptera; Bombycidae.